GACGAACGCUGGCGGCGUGCCUAACACAUGCAAGUCGAGCGGAGUCGAUCGACGGAAGCCUUCGGGCGGAAGAUGGUUGACUUAGCGGCGGAUGGGUGAGUAACGCGUGGGCAACCUGCCUCGAAGACCGGGAUAACAGCCCGAAAGGGCUGCUAAUACCGGAUGUGGUCAAGGAUCCGCAUGGAUUUUUGAUUAAAGGGGAAACCCGUUUCGAGAUGGGCCCGCGUCCUAUCAGCUAGUUGGUGAGGUAAAAGCUCACCAAGGCGACGACGGGUAGCCGGCCUGAGAGGGUGACCGGCCACACUGGAACUGAGACACGGUCCAGACUCCUACGGGGGGCAGCAGUGGGGAAUCUUCCACAAUGGGCGAAAGCCUGAUGGAGCGACGCCGCGUGAGCGAAGAAGGCCUUGGGUUGUAAAGCUCUGUCUGGAGGGACGAAGGAAGUGACGGUACCUCCGGAGGAAGCCACGGCUAACUACGUG
Molecule: ribosomal RNA, 482 nt
Filed under: uncultured bacterium
Lineage: Bacteria
Description: bacterial SSU rRNA
Rfam family: Bacterial small subunit ribosomal RNA
Source: RNAcentral